This 482-nucleotide long non-coding RNA is filed under the name Brassica napus (rape). RNAcentral's name for it is "long non-coding RNA (BNAP_LNC021560)". The record is from RNAcentral. Lineage: Eukaryota; Viridiplantae; Streptophyta; Magnoliopsida; Brassicales; Brassicaceae.
UUUUUUUUAAAUCAAUCAUCUACAAACUCAUGCUGACUCUGUAAACCAAACCGGUAACUCUGUCCAUGUGAACGACGAAAGACGGUUGUUUCCUAGCACUGCGUGCUAAGCUAUCCGCCUUUUGAUUUUCUGUCUGAGGUACAUGAACGAUCUCUGAGUUUAGAAAGCUUCUUUUCAGCAGUUUAAUGUCUUCCUGAUAAUUAUCAAACGCUGGCCAUUCUUCUGGUUCCGAAACCAUUUUUAUCAAUUGAGAACAAUCUGUCGCAAAUGUGACCUGAAAUUACCGUAAAUUCCUCAUGCAUUCCAUUGCCCAUAUUAGCGCUUCUACCUCCGAAUGAAGAAGUGAAAGACUUGCCCGGACAUUCCGUGCCCCUAGCAAUCCAUCAAAACCCGCUAAAGUGAUGUACCAGCCUUGUCCUGAGAAUUGUUCCUUAUCUUUCCAUGAGCAAUCUAUGAAACACCAUUUUCCUGGUAUUGUUGGU